This 451-nucleotide ribosomal RNA is filed under the name Trachinus draco (greater weever). Its description in RNAcentral is "partial small subunit ribosomal RNA". It matches the Rfam family "Bacterial small subunit ribosomal RNA", at positions 7 to 794 of the family's 1533-position model. Lineage: Eukaryota; Metazoa; Chordata; Actinopteri; Perciformes; Trachinidae. The record is from RNAcentral.
CAAAGGCUUGGUCCUGACUUUACUAUCAACUUUAGCCAAAUUUACACAUGCAAGUAUCCGCCCCCCUGUGAGAAUGCCCUAACAGUCCCCUGCCCGGGGAUAAGGAGCUGGUAUCAGGCACACUUUAUACGAGCCCACGACACCUUGCAUAGCCACACCCCCACGGGAAUUCAGCAGUGAUAGACAUUAAGCUAUAAGUGAAAACUUGACUUAGUCAAGGCUAAGAGGGCCGGUAAAACUCGUGCCAGCCACCGCGGUUAUACGAGAGGCCCAAGUUGAUAAUCACCAGCGUAAAGCGUGGUUAAGGGAAGAUAAAAACUAAAGCCGAACGCCCUCAGUUAACUGUUAUACGAUAUACCGAAGGUAAGAAGCCCAUCCACGAAAGUGACUUUAACAAUAUCCUGAACCCACGAAAGCUACGACACAAACUGGGAUUAGAUACCCCACUAUG